UCGGGAAUUUUCGGCAAUGGGGGGAACCCUGACCGAGCAACGCCGCGUGAGGGAAGAAGGUCUUCGGAUCGUAAACCUUUGUCAUCAGGGACGAUCAUGACGGUACCUGAGGAGGAAGCCACGGCUAACUACGUGCCAGCAGCCGCGGUAAUACGUAGGUGGCGAGCGUUGUCCGGAAUUACUGGGCGUAAAGGGCGUGUAGGUGGCCUUUUAAGUCAGGCGUGAAAACCCACGGCUUAACCGUGGGCCUGCGCUUGAAACUGGGGGGCUUGAGGGCAGGAGAGGAAAGCGGAAUUCCCAGUGUAGCGGUGAAAUGCGUAGAUAUUGGGAGGAACACCAGUGGCGAAGGCGGCUUUCUGGACUGACCCUGACACUGAGGCGCGAAAGCCAGGGGAGCGAACGGG
Molecule: ribosomal RNA, 404 nt
Filed under: uncultured bacterium
Lineage: Bacteria
Description: bacterial SSU rRNA
Rfam family: Bacterial small subunit ribosomal RNA
Source: RNAcentral